Molecule: transfer RNA, 70 nt
Filed under: Chamaeleo dilepis (flapneck chameleon)
Lineage: Eukaryota; Metazoa; Chordata; Lepidosauria; Squamata; Chamaeleonidae
Description: tRNA-Asp
Source: RNAcentral
AAAGCCUUAGUAAAAUAUUUACAUAGCCCUGUCAGCACUAAGUUAUGGGUACUUAAACCCAUAGGCUUUA